UCUUGGAUAGCUCAGCAGGUAGAGCAAUCGGCUGUUAACCGAUCGGUCGCAGGUUCGAACCCUGUUCCAAGAG
This 73-nucleotide transfer RNA is filed under the name Clostridium sp. AF50-3. RNAcentral describes it as "tRNA-Asn". It matches the Rfam family "tRNA". From Rfam's summary of the family: Transfer RNA (tRNA) molecules are approximately 80 nucleotides in length. Their secondary structure includes four short double-helical elements and three loops (D, anti-codon, and T loops). Lineage: Bacteria; Bacillati; Bacillota; Clostridia; Eubacteriales; Clostridiaceae. The record is from RNAcentral.